GACGAACGCUGGCGGCGUGCUUAACACAUGCAAGUCGAACGGAAAGGCCCUGCUUUUGUGGGGUGCUCGAGUGGCGAACGGGUGAGUAACACGUGAGUAACCUGCCCUUGACUUUGGGAUAACUUCAGGAAACUGGGGCUAAUACCGGAUAGGAGCUCCUGCUGCAUGGUGGGGGUUGGAAAGUUUCGGCGGUUGGGGAUGGACUCGCGGCUUAUCAGCUUGUUGGUGGGGUAGUUGCUUACCAAGGCUUUGACGGGUAGCCGGCCUGAGAGGGUGACCGGCCACAUUGGGACUGAGAGACGGCCCAGACGCCUACGGGAGGCAGCAGUGGGGAAUAUUGCACAAUGGGCGGAAGCCUGAUGCAGCAACGCCGCGUGCGGGAUGACGUCCUUCGGGUUGUAAACCGCUUUCGCCUGUGACGAGGCGUGAGUGACGGUAAUGGGUAAAGAAGCACCGGCUAACUACGUG
Molecule: ribosomal RNA, 468 nt
Filed under: uncultured bacterium
Lineage: Bacteria
Description: partial 16S ribosomal RNA
Rfam family: Bacterial small subunit ribosomal RNA
Source: RNAcentral